This 548-nucleotide long non-coding RNA is filed under the name Phoenix dactylifera (date palm). RNAcentral's name for it is "long non-coding RNA (PDAC_LNC021927)". The record is from RNAcentral. Lineage: Eukaryota; Viridiplantae; Streptophyta; Magnoliopsida; Arecales; Arecaceae.
ACGAACAAAAACUAAAAACAAAAACUAAGAACUGCGGCAUAGUUUUAGGUAAAGUCUAUUAUUGAGUUAUGUCUUGAGUUUACGAGUCGUAUACUUUUGAAUUAUCAUUUAUGUAUGCAAUUGAAGUAACAUUGAAUUAUUUAUCACAAAACCCAAUCAUGUAGAUUCCAAGAAGUAACUUGUUUCUUUUUGGCUUGUUUUAUCAUUUAUCAUUUAUGUAUGCAAUUGAAGCAUACAAAAUAGCUCGCUAAACUAAUACAAAAUUGCACAAUAUAUUAUAAUACCUCGUAAGUUGUAAAUUCGCUUGUGUAAUCCAGUACAAAUUCUGAUCCAAUUAUACUCGAUUCGGUUGUAGCAUAGCCCUACAUAUAAAAUAAUUUAUCACCAAGAAUUAAUGAAUCAGAGGAUCUGUUCGGCACAAAAUUCAGCACGGCACGCGAUUUGGCACGAGAAGGCUUCUGUUCGGCGAUCCAGUGCCGAACGGAGCACGAACCGUGAAAAAAAAAACUUUCGAAACAAGGUGGAACACGUACCUUUGCGGCCGAUUC